Molecule: ribosomal RNA, 696 nt
Filed under: Triticum aestivum (bread wheat)
Lineage: Eukaryota; Viridiplantae; Streptophyta; Magnoliopsida; Poales; Poaceae
Description: partial small subunit ribosomal RNA
Source: RNAcentral
AUGUGGACCGAUGCUCCAGCUUCAAUGCUUCAUCAGCCUUCCGCGUCGGCGAGCGACGACCGAGCACCAGCACCAACACCAGCAGCUCUUCCCUUUCCUCCCCCACUCCCACGGACGGACGGGGCAGGGCCGACCGACGCGCAUCUCGUCGCUCGCUCCGCCGACCCGCUCCCCUCCUCCUCCCAUCCGCUCGCCAUGGAGGAAGCCAAAGCUGCACAAGAUAGAGAUCACAAGUUCUUAUCGAUAGCGGUAGAAGAAGCUUACCGAGCAGUCGACUGUGGCCAUGGACGCCCAUUUGGUGCGGUCGUAGUCCGCAACGACGAAGUAGUAGUCAGUUGCCAUAACAUGGUUUUGAAGAACACUGAUCCAACUGCACAUGCUGAGUUAACUGCAAUAAGAGAGGCUUGCAAAAAGCUUGGAAAGAUUGAGCUGUCGGAUUGCGAAAUGUAUGCAUCCUGCGAACCUUGUCCGAUGUGUUUUAGCGCUGUUCAUCUAUCCCGGAUCAAGAGGCUGGUGUAUGGAGCCAAGGCAGAAGCUGCCGUUGCCAUUGGAUUUGACGCCUUCAUUGCUGAUGCUCUCGGAGGAACUGGGCACUACCGUACGGCCAACCUGGAGAUAAAGCGAGCAGAUGGGAAUGGAGCCCUGCUUGCUGAACAGGUCUUUGAGAACACCAAGGGGAAAUUUCGAUUGAAAUAA